RNAcentral lists this ribosomal RNA (637 nucleotides) under uncultured bacterium. RNAcentral describes it as "bacterial SSU rRNA". It matches the Rfam family "Bacterial small subunit ribosomal RNA", at positions 233 to 863 of the family's 1533-position model. The record is from RNAcentral.
GCGGCCUAUCAGCACGUUGGUGAGGUAAUGGCUCACCAUGGCGAAGACUGGUAGAUAGUCUGAGAGGAUGAUCCCCCACACUGGAACUGUGACACUGUCCAGACUCCUACGGGAGGCUGCAGUGGAGAAUCUUUAGCAAUGGGGGAAACCCUGACUAUGCGACGCCGCGUGAGGGAUGACGGUCUUCGGAUUGUAAACCUCUUUCGAUCGGGAAGAAUAUCCCGCCAUUUAAUAAACGGCGGGACUGACGGUACCGGGAGAAGAAGCCACGGCCAACUCCGUGCCAGCAGCCGCGGUAAUACGGAGGUGGCGAGCGUUACUCGGAUUUAUUGGGUGUAAAGGGCAGGUAGGUGGCUCAUCAAGUGGGAAGUGAAAUCCUCCGACUUAAUCGGAGAACUGCUUUCCAAACUAGUGAGCUUGAGUGUGAGAGAGGAGAAUGGAACUCCUGGUGUAAGGGUGAAAUGCGUAGAGAUCAGGAGGAACACCAUUGGCGAAGGCGAUUCUCUGGAUCACAACUGACACUGAACUGCGAAAGUGAGGGGAGAGAACAAGAUUAGAUACCCUGGUACUCCACACCGUAAACGAUGAGUACUGGUGUGUCUCGGGUAAUACCGAGGCGCCGAAGCUAACACAUUAA